This 497-nucleotide ribosomal RNA is filed under the name uncultured bacterium. RNAcentral describes it as "partial 16S ribosomal RNA". It matches the Rfam family "Bacterial small subunit ribosomal RNA", at positions 28 to 507 of the family's 1533-position model. The record is from RNAcentral.
GAUGAACGCUGGCGGCGUGCCUAAUACAUGCAAGUCGAGCGAACGGACGAGAAGCUUUCUUCUCUGAUGUUAGCGGCGGACGGGGGAGUAACACGUGGAUAACCUACCUAUAAGACUGGGAUAACUUCGGGAAACCGGAGCUAGUACCGGAUGAUAUUUUGAACCGCAUGGUUCAAAAGUGAAAGACGGUCUUGCUGUCACUUAUAGAUGGAUCCGCGCUGCAUUAGCUAGUUGGUAAGGUAACGGCUUACCAAGGCAACGAUGCAUAGCCGACCUGAGAGGAUGAUCAGCCACACUGGAACUGAGACACGGUCCAGACUCCUACGGGAGGCAGCAGUAGGGAAUAUUGCGCAAUGGGCGCAAGCCUGACGGAGCAACGCCGCGUGAGUGAUGAAGGUCUUCGGAUCGUAAAACUCUGUUAUUGGGGAAGAAAAUAUGUAUAAGUAACUGUGCACAUCCUGACGGUACCUAAUCAGAAAGCCACGGCUAACUACGUG